Molecule: ribosomal RNA, 491 nt
Filed under: uncultured bacterium
Lineage: Bacteria
Description: partial 16S ribosomal RNA
Rfam family: Bacterial small subunit ribosomal RNA
Source: RNAcentral
CGCUGGCGGCGUGCCUAAUACAUGCAAGUCGAGCGAACAGACGAGGAGCUUGCUCCUCUGACGUUAGCGGCGGACGGGUGAGUAACACGUGGAUAACCUACCUAUAAGACUGGGAUAACUUCGGGAAACCGGAGCUAAUACCGGAUAAUAUAUUGAACCGCAUGGUUCAAUAGUGAAAGACGGUUUUGCUGUCACUUAUAGAUGGAUCCGCGCCGCAUUAGCUAGUUGGUAAGGUAACAGCUUACCAAGGCAACGAUGCGUAGCCGACCUGAGAGGGUGAUCGGCCACACUGGAACUGAGACACGGUCCAGACUCCUACGGGAGGCAGCAGUAGGGAAUCUUCCGCAAUGGGCGAAAGCCUGACGGAGCAACGCCGCGUGAGUGAUGAAGGUCUUCGGAUCGUAAAACUCUGUUAUUAGGGAAGAACAAAUGUGUAAGUAACUAUGCACGUCUUGACGGUACCUAAUCAGAAAGCCACGGCUAACUACGUG